AUUCCUACGGGAGGCAGCAGUGAGGAAUUUUGCGCAAUGGGAGCAAUCCUGACGCAGCAACGCCGCGUGGGUGAAGAAGGCCUUCGGGUCGUAAAGCCCUGUCAGGUGGGAAGAAGGGUCCUAUCAGGAAAGGGGUGGGAUUUGACGGUACCACCAGAGGAAGCACCGGCUAACUCCGUGCCAGCAGCCGCGGUAAUACGGAGGGUGCGAGCGUUAUUCGGAAUUACUGGGCGUAAAGCGCGUGUAGGCGGGGGAGCAAGUCUGAUGUGAAAGCCCCGGGCUUAACCCGGGAAGUGCAUUGGAAACUGUUUUUCUUGAGUACUGGAGAGGAAGGGGGAAUUCCCGGUGUAGAGGUGAAAUUCGUAGAGAUCGGGAGGAAUACCAGUGGCGAAGGCGCCCUUCUGGACGGUUACUGACGCUGAGACGCGAAAGCGUGGGGAGCAAACAGGAUUAGAUACCCUGGUAGUCCACGCUGUAAACGAUGAGCACUAGGUGUAGCGGGUACUCAUUCCUGCUGUGCCGCAGCUAACGCGUUAAGUGCUCCGCCUGGGGACUACGGUCGCAAGACUAAAACUCAAAGGAAUUGACGGAAU
This 593-nucleotide ribosomal RNA is filed under the name uncultured bacterium. RNAcentral describes it as "bacterial SSU rRNA". It matches the Rfam family "Bacterial small subunit ribosomal RNA", at positions 335 to 919 of the family's 1533-position model. The record is from RNAcentral.